GGGAAAGGUGGAUUACAUGGUGAGUUCAGUCCUGCAGUGAGGCCAUGCAGGAAGAUACGUGAACGUGUCCCAAAAGAUCAUUGCAGUUUGGCGUUUUAAUGCUGCUGCUUAGAACAGCAGCUGCCUGGCUGGAGGUUGAUCUUCAUCCCAGCCAGGUGUAGAAUCUGAUGGUUUUACGGAGGAGGUUAGAGAGACAAACAGCAACUUGGCAAGCACCUAGCUGUAGAUUAUGGAGAUUCCUUUUGCUGUAACAGUGAGCUGUAAAGACUUGGGCCAAAAGAGAAUCUGUUAUGUUAUCAUCCAGCUGGUAAUUAAGUGGGUUUGUGGACAAGAGGAAAUGAGUCAGUUUAAAUGAGGGAAAAAGACUCCAAAAUUUCCAAAGCUACACAAUUCUGCUCUAGCACAACUCCGACAACACUUUUAUUACGAGAAUCUUGUAUACACAUCUCCUUAAAGAGACCCAAAGAACAAUUUCUAAAAUUCAGAUAUAACUGAGGAACCAAUACUCAUUUCAAUUACCAUACUUAGAAGGAAAGCCUUAGAAUAAUGAGGAAAGACUAACCAUAUUGAAAACACUAAACACUAGCCCUUUUCAUGUUAGAAAGUUUGGAUAGAGAGGGGCCCCCUAACUAGGAUUACAUUAUGUCUUUUUCAGUGCUGUAGUCUAAAAUAUUAAAUGCAGUUUGUUUUGAAGUAUUACAGUAGAAGUUCUCAGCUUAGAAAAGCUGUAAUUCCUGAGUUUGUGCCACCUGCUCUGUUAAGUGCUUUUGAGAUCAAUACAGGAAAGAGAUUAGCCUGUGAAGACACUUUGUCCUUUAGAGCUGCUACUGGAAGGUGAUAGAUCUGAAGGAUACUGGUAAUGAGAGAUGUGAUUAGCAGCCUAAUAAAUAAGGCAAACGUCUCUGUCUUUUCCUCUAGUGUGUGUUAGCCUACCUAUGUUUUUGUUAGAGAUUUAUCCUGGUUAUAAGAUUUGACAAACUUGUCUCAUCAACCGUCACCAAAAUGUUAGUAAUAAUGAUGUGGAACCUCUCAUAUUUGGGGAAUCUGAGCACCUGUUUAAGAUUCUGACCUUGAUUUCUCACUUGCUGUAGUUGUUGCAUUCUGUGUCUUCUAUGUUGUCAGGAAGUAUUGCACCCAAAGCAUCAAUAUUUGUUACAGGCUAUUGUUGUUAUGGUCUGGGUUCGUUCUUGGUGCAGAGGUUGAGUGAAAACUCUGGUUUUCAUUGAAAAUGUUUUUUAAUGUCUUUUAUGGAAGUAGGCAGGUGAAAUAAACUGUGAAUUCUGAACUUGGAACACAAAACCAUGCGUCUUCCCAGAAUAAAACGGUUGCUCAGGUAUUUCCAGCUGGAUGGAUGAAGGGGCAUGGCUGGAUGAAGGUGAAUGACUAGGGAAGAAUGAGAGUUCAAGCUGAGAAACAAAAGGCUUAGAGUGGGAAGCUACAAUUCAAAUUACUUUUCCAUAGUGGGUUGUGUCUAAGCCCAAGGAAAGGUAUUGGAAGGGGCCUUUAAGUAGUGAAGCUCUUCAUGCGUCUCUUCUCUCUGCACAUGGGGAAGCAGAACUUCAUAUGUUCUUGUAAAUGAAUGGAAAUACAUCAAAGAUGCUCACUGCCAUCCACAGCUUUUUUUUUUUUCUUCUUUCAUUCGAUGCAGUCCGUACAUUUCCACUUUAUGUGGUCCAGGAGAGGUAACGCUUUGUUACCUGACCUCAUUCCUUAUUCUGAACCACAUUAAGCAGUGCAGUGAAGUAUACCAUUAUUGGUUUGGAAGAAAUUGAUUUAUGGGAAAUGAUUCAUCUACCACAUGAAAAAUAGUUCUGAGGAGAUGUCCCACUUUGCUCUUACCUGAUACCUUGUUAAACUUGCCCAAGGAUGUUUCCUGGGACAUAAAAGGGAUGUAAAUUUGCCUCCUAGCACGGGCUUUCUGUAGAAGCUUGUCCAGCAGCCUUUCUGCUCUUGUGAGACAAGACUUUGUGAGACAUGCAGGUCCAUGCAGGACUUUUGGAUGUUUAACUUUGACCAAUAUGAAACGAAGGUUUCGCAUUCACUGCCUUUGCUCAACUAUUACUGAUGCAACCUGCCUCCUCAGAACAAGCCCAACGUAAACUUUUCUUAAAGGAUUGAGGAAAAAAGUUGGUCUCUGGCAAUGAAAUGCUGUUUUUAUUUUAGGCAUCUCAAUGUAUGAGUGGGGAAAGUAAUCUGAUUAGCACAUUUGCUAGAGAAAGGAACCAAUGGGAAGGUGAAAAUAUUAAUAAAAGACAGAGUUGACUUAUACUCAAACUGGCCUUUAAAUUUGCAGUAUAUGCUGUAAGGACAUGCUUAUAUAACCUCUAUUUCUAUUCAUAAAGGUUUAUGUGGGUCUAUAUUGAAUUAUGCAUUUAAAAUUAAUCCACUGAGGCAGCCCACUGAGAUGCCACUUCUCAUUUAGUAACUGCAUUAAGGACUUUGUGCUUCAUUUAGAAACUGUGAGAAGCUUGCUUUGUGCUGUGGAGAGGAACUGGCCUGCCAGAUUCAGACGGGCUAUUAUAGGGGGUUUAAAACAACCAUCUCUCUGUCUUUCUCUGAGUUACCAGUAAAACUCUAUUCUUGACUUGUGUGACCCGACUCAUGCAGCUUGGCUGAACCUGACAAACCCAACUGACUUGUGUCAGAUUCUUAGAAGAGAUUAAUGAAGAUUUUCUUCAGGGGUUGGGAACAGCUGAUUCUGCCUUUGCAAGGCUGUGGGGACCCGGAAUGAACAGACGCACACAUUAGGUGUUUAUACCAGCAGCUGUAAUUCAAGUUUAUUAAGUGCCUUGUUUGUGUAGUUUUCCGGUUCCUCAGGCAUUGCAAAAGGGUCAAGAGCUCUUCUAGAUGUUUACAUGGAUUUUGUUCUAAGAAAUCUUAGGCUCUUAUCUCUUCUUAUCUGCAUUCUCCAAAUUACAAUUCUGCUUUUAAAAUGGCUGCAAAACGGUAUUGUGAGGCUCUGUGUCAUGUCUGAAUUAAACUUCUUUAGCUUAAAAAUAAAAGCAUACCAGUUCUGUAUAGUCACAUUGUGAUGUAAAAUACAAAUUGAGAUAUCUGCAUGGCCUAUCUCAUUCAUCAUGAAAAAUCACUUGUUUUGGGAAUUACUGCCUUUAUUGACUCUGGGCAAACCUGUUGUCUUCCUAUUCUGCUUUUGGUUGUUAUUGUUUUUAUUAUUAAGUUAGUGCUUUGUGGCCUUAGUAUAAAAAAACCUACUAAACGCGUAGCAAGCCUUUCA
Molecule: long non-coding RNA, 3235 nt
Organism: Harpia harpyja (harpy eagle)
Lineage: Eukaryota; Metazoa; Chordata; Aves; Accipitriformes; Accipitridae
Exons: 3
Source: RefSeq, a predicted model, not a curated record